GCGGCGCGGUGGCGCACGCCUGUAGUCCAGCUACUCGGGAGGCUGAGGCUGGAGGAUCGCUUGAGCCCAGGAGUUCUGGGCUGUAGUGCGCUAUGCCAAUCGGGUGUCCGCACUAAGUUCGGCAUCAAUAUGGUGACCUCCCGGGAGCGGGGGGCCACCAGGUUGCCUAAGGAGGGGUGAACCGGCCCAGGUCGGAGACGGAGCAGGUCAAAGCUCCCGUGCUGAUCAGUAGUGGGAUCGCGCCUGUGACUAGUCACUGCACUCCAGCCUGGGCAACAUAGCGAGACCCCGUCUCUA
This 297-nucleotide signal recognition particle RNA is filed under the name Myotis davidii. RNAcentral describes it as "Metazoan signal recognition particle RNA". It matches the Rfam family "Metazoan signal recognition particle RNA". Rfam says of the family: The signal recognition particle (SRP) is a universally conserved ribonucleoprotein. It is involved in the co-translational targeting of proteins to membranes. The eukaryotic SRP consists of a 300-nucleotide 7S RNA and six proteins: SRPs 72, 68, 54, 19, 14, and 9. Lineage: Eukaryota; Metazoa; Chordata; Mammalia; Chiroptera; Vespertilionidae. The record is from Rfam by way of RNAcentral.